Molecule: ribosomal RNA, 352 nt
Filed under: uncultured Eubacterium sp.
Lineage: Bacteria; Bacillati; Bacillota; Clostridia; Eubacteriales; Eubacteriaceae
Description: bacterial SSU rRNA
Rfam family: Bacterial small subunit ribosomal RNA
Source: RNAcentral
UGGGGGAAUAUUGCACAAUGGGGGGAAACCCUGAUGCAGCAACGCCGCGUGAAGGAAGACGGUUUUCGGAUUGUAAACUUCUGUUCUUAACGAAGAAUAAUGACGGUAGUUAAGGAGCAAGCCACGGCUAACUACGUGCCAGCAGCCGCGGUAAUACGUAGGUGGCAAGCGUUGUCCGGAAUUACUGGGUGUAAAGGGAGCGCAGGCGGGAGAGCAAGUCAGCUGUGAAAUCCAUGGGCUUAACCCAUGAACUGCAGUUGAAACUGUUUUUCUUGAGUGAAGUAGAGGUUGGCGGAAUUCCGAGUGUAGCGGUGAAAUGCGUAGAUAUUCGGAGGAACACCGGUGGCGAAGG